UCUAGAGGUUCACUACAGGAUUAAGCUCCAGUUGCCCACAGUGCUAGGUGGCUUAAACCCACACCCUUUCCUGGAUGACUUUCCUUCAUUGAAUCACUUCCCUGUGCCUCUACAGGUAGUCUCCAUGUUGAACUCCUUUUCUCAGGACCGACCUGCUUUUGGGGAACCCAAAUAAAGACAAGGAAGCUACUGGAAGAUAUCCUUCAGCAACAUGAGAGAGAAAGAGGAAGACAUGGAUUUCAGAAAGCAAAGACGGUAAAACAUGAGAACAAUGAAGGGAAAUCCAUGUUGACAGCUAUGCCACAGCCUAGAAAGCAACUAGUCCAAAUGGAAACAAGAGGAAAGAUGGCUUCAGGAGGGACAUCUCAAGGCUAAUUUGAUGGUAUUUCAGGGAGCCGAUAUUCAACAGUCUUGGAGGUUCCAUCAAGACACAGUAGACAUCUGCUCUCCACAGUGACUUAACCCUCCACAAGGAAACAGCGCUCCUCAAAGGCUCCUUGAGCCUCUUCCUCUAAAGUCUCCAUGACAAGAGUGUUGCUCUAAGUCCGCAUUGGGUUUAAGCUUCAAUUGUUUUUAAUUUCCCCAAAUGGACGCCUACCACAGCAUGACGUGCCAAGUGGUUCCACAGGUCUGCCCCCGGGAUCUGAACCAGUGAACCCCGGGCCGCCAAAGCGGACUGUGCGCACUUAACCGCUGAGCCACUGGGCCGGCCCAACACUUCUCUUCUGAUACUUUGGGUCACCAAAUGUGUGGAGGUUUUUCCCUACACCAAGCAAUUCUCUGCAACACCGGCUGGAUAUCCUACAGUUUAACUCGAUUCUGACACUGUCUACCCGGAGAUAGCAUCAGAUCCCACAGAUCAAAGGUUCAGUUCCAUAAGGUGACCCCCAACACACACUUAAGACACCAGUCUCAAGACCAGGUUAUCACCUGUGCUUCUGACCAACUGGCUAUAUAUUGGAGGUUCUAAAGACCCCCUGGGUUGAGUUAAUUUCCUAGAGUGGCUCACAAAAUCCAGGGAAACACUUAAGUUUACCAGUUUAUUAAAGGAUAUGAAAAAGGAUACAGAUGAACAGCCAGAAGAAGAGGUAGAAAUGGUGAGGUCUGGGAGGGUCCCAAGUGCAGGAGCUUCUGUCCCCAUGGAGUUGGGGUGUGUCACCCUCAUGGUGUGGAUGUGUUCACCCACCUGAAAGCUCUCUGAACCCCAUACUUGCAGUCUAAUGAGAAAUUUUCACGUAUUGAGGUAUAUGGGUAUAUCAAACCUGAUUUGGCCUGAACUAAAGCCUGACUUAUGACCUGUCAAAC
This 1305-nucleotide long non-coding RNA is filed under the name Equus asinus (donkey). RNAcentral's name for it is "lncRNA (ENSEASG00005034935.1)". Lineage: Eukaryota; Metazoa; Chordata; Mammalia; Perissodactyla; Equidae. The record is from RNAcentral.